CGUGUAGGCGGCCUCUUAAGUCUGGUGUGAAAGUCCUGGGCUUAACCCCGGAAGGGCACUGGAAACUGGGAGGCUAGAGUACCGGAGAGGGGGGUGGAAUUCCUGGUGUAGCGGUGAAAUGCGUAGAUAUCAGGAGGAACACCGGUGGCGAAGGCGGCCCUCUGGACGGAUACUGACGCUGAGACGCGAAAGCGUGGGGAGCAAACAGGAUUAGAUACCCUGGUAGUCCACGCUGUAAACGAUGGGCACUAGGUGUUCGGGGUAUUGACCCCCUGAGUGCCGCAGCUAACGCAUUAAGUGCCCCGCCUGGGGACUACGGCCGCAAGGUUAAA
RNAcentral lists this ribosomal RNA (332 nucleotides) under uncultured bacterium. Its description in RNAcentral is "bacterial SSU rRNA". It matches the Rfam family "Bacterial small subunit ribosomal RNA", at positions 568 to 898 of the family's 1533-position model. The record is from RNAcentral.